UCAUGCAGUCGACCACCAAAGGCAGCAGCCCUCCCGCCCCCUCCCCCGCCACUCCACCUAGAGCAGAGCCUCGAAAGGCAUCCCCCGAGCCAAGCAAAUCGCCCGCAGGCAAAUUGCAAACCAAAGACGAGCCUGAAACCUCAUCACCAUCGCGUUCAACUAUGCGGUCCCCAUCCUCAUCAAAGCCUGCUUCGCCCUCUCGUUUAUCAGCUCAAUCUAGAUCACCUCAUCAGCCUCCCUCUUCACCCCAACCACCGAUCCUCGCUUCAGUCCCCGUCUCGAGUGAUCUCGCUGACUCCUUCCACUCCCAAACGAGCAUCAAAAUCUCAUUCUCCAUCCCGUGUCACUUCUCGUUCUCCUAAGCAGCAGGUGUCGUCGUCUAGCCCUCCUAAGGGGAAACAACCUGCUUCCCCAUCAAAAGAUUCAACACAGCCUACUGAAAAGAUCUCCACUUCGUAUGAAGCCCCCAUUUUUAGCUUCUAAAGAGAAUGAUCCAAAGCCUGCAGCAUCUCAACAAGAAGCAGAGGUGAAGCAAGAGGUUAAACCUGAUAGUGCUGUAGCAGCCAAUGGCCAAACUCAGCAAGGGACAAGCUUCAAGCACGACGAUGUGGAAGCCAAGCCUUCUCAAUCAUCGCAACUUCACAAUGAAGCACCACCUGCCCAAGGUCCGGAGACACGUGAAACGAGCAAAAGCUUAGGCUCUUCCAUUGUCAAUGAUGGCCGACAUGCCCCGACAUCAAACUGGAUGCAAAGCAUAAAGAAACUAAGGAUGUGAAGGAAGUAGUGGAAGCAACAAAAACAGAAGUGGCGACGAGAAAAAGAAGGAAGUCAAUGAUUCUAUUGCUCCAAAGUCUACCUCUGAUGCACAAAUUGUUGAAAAGGCUGAAAUCCCCAAAGAGAAGCAAGCGGUCCCCGGCACGAAGGAGUUUUUAGCACACCUGGUUAUGCUACAGCUUCUCAACUGGUGAAGAAAAGCAAGAGCUCUGGUGCUCGGGAGAAACCUGCUCUACCAAAUGAAGAACACACCCCGUUGCACAAAAACAUCAGGGCGACUGUCAAAGUUUGCCAACGAAUUAGCCGGUGAAGACCACAAAAAAGCCAUUUCUGAUAGACCUGUAAGUGUGAUAACCAUUGCAGGAGAAAAUAGAGGAGCAUCAAUGCACAUGGAGUCUGAUUCCUCAAAAGGAGAAGGGCAGAUUCACAUUCAUCGGAGCUAUAAGAGCAACCCCGAUCAAAGUCCUGAAGCAACCACUGAUGGAGAGGAAUGCUCUGCAGGGAAAAAGUCAGAAGACGAGAGAAGCAUGGAAGAUCAACUGACGGAGGCAUAUGUAAACAACAACGCACAAGGGAUCAACAACUCCAUUGUGUUCAACAGUUC
RNAcentral lists this long non-coding RNA (1378 nucleotides) under Salvia miltiorrhiza (redroot sage). RNAcentral's name for it is "long non-coding RNA (SMIL_LNC006446)". The record is from RNAcentral. Lineage: Eukaryota; Viridiplantae; Streptophyta; Magnoliopsida; Lamiales; Lamiaceae.